GGAGGGUCUAUGGCUCAGUGGUAGAGCAUCUGCGUGGCAAGCAGAAGAUCCCAUGUUCAACCCCCAGCAUCUCCA
This 75-nucleotide transfer RNA is filed under the name Sphaerodactylus townsendi. RNAcentral describes it as "tRNA-Ala". The stretch from base 4 to 64 matches the Rfam family "tRNA". From Rfam's summary of the family: Transfer RNA (tRNA) molecules are approximately 80 nucleotides in length. The record is from RNAcentral. Lineage: Eukaryota; Metazoa; Chordata; Lepidosauria; Squamata; Sphaerodactylidae.